ACCGGCCUGCAAAGUUGGUGCUGGCGGUUACCGUUUAUUGAACCAAUAUUCACCCAACGGGGAUUCGACUCGAAUGAACGGUCUGGUGUGCAGCUCCCCAGUCGGAGACGCCUAAAGGACCUCGGCGGAACCCCACCUGUCUCAUGACAGGUUCAUAAACGGCCCACCUCACGGCCCCGCGGGUCGGCC
Molecule: non-coding RNA, 189 nt
Filed under: Terriglobales bacterium
Lineage: Bacteria; Pseudomonadati; Acidobacteriota; Terriglobia; Terriglobales
Description: Acidobacteriales bacterium (sediment metagenome) 6S RNA
Rfam family: 6S / SsrS RNA
About the family: E. coli 6S RNA was the first non coding RNA to be sequenced, but its function was unknown until recently. It consists of 184 nucleotides that fold into an extended hairpin structure with a large single-stranded internal bulge.
Source: RNAcentral